ACGAACGCUGGCGGCGUGCUUAACACAUGCAAGUCGCACGGAAAGGCCCUGCUUUUGUGGGGUGCUCGAGUGGCGAACGGGUGAGUAACACGUGAGUAACCUGCCCUUGACUUUGGGAUAACUUCAGGAAACUGGGGCUAAUACCGGAUAGGAGCUCCUGCUGCAUGGUGGGGGUUGGAAAGUUUCGGCGGUUGGGGAUGGACUCGCGGCUUAUCAGCUUGUUGGUGGGGUAGUGGCUUACCAAGGCUUUGACGGGUAGCCGGCCUGAGAGGGUGACCGGCCACAUUGGGACUGAGAUACGGCCCAGACUCCUACGGGAGGCAGCAGUGGGGAAUAUUGCACAAUGGGCUGAAGCCUGAUGCAGCAACGCCGCGUGCGGGAUGACGGCCUUCGGGUUGUAAACCGCUUUCGCCUGUGACGAAGCGUGAGUGACGGUAAUGGGUAAAGAAGCACCGGCUAACUACGUG
This 467-nucleotide ribosomal RNA is filed under the name uncultured bacterium. RNAcentral describes it as "partial 16S ribosomal RNA". It matches the Rfam family "Bacterial small subunit ribosomal RNA", at positions 29 to 507 of the family's 1533-position model. The record is from RNAcentral.